CGGUGGGCUAGACGGGGCCUAGGGCAGGCCCUUAAGGAGCGAAAUGCUCCGACCGAAGCCCUCACGGGUCGAAGCCAUGGAGCGGUGGAGUUCAGUUAUGGGCCUCAAGCUGUAACGAUGAGCUCUUGUCCCAUAGGACCUAUGGAUGCGUGAACCGGGCCAGGUCCGGAAGGAAGCAACCCUAAGCGCACUCCAUGGGUGCUUAUGGGGGUGCAGGGGGGAGCCAAGGCUUGAACAAGCUCAUAGCUGAAUUUCACCCAUCCAUGGUGCCCACCG
This 276-nucleotide signal recognition particle RNA is filed under the name Candidatus Nanoarchaeia archaeon. RNAcentral describes it as "signal recognition particle sRNA". It matches the Rfam family "Archaeal signal recognition particle RNA". RNAcentral also lists the same sequence under 1 other name. Lineage: Archaea; Nanobdellati; Nanobdellota; Candidatus Nanoarchaeia. The record is from RNAcentral.